Molecule: non-coding RNA, 72 nt
Organism: Phrynosoma platyrhinos (Desert horned lizard)
Lineage: Eukaryota; Metazoa; Chordata; Lepidosauria; Squamata; Phrynosomatidae
Source: the annotation of a GenBank genome assembly
GCCAGUGUGGUGUAGUGGUUAGAGCAUUAGACUGUGACUUUGGAGGCCAGGAGUCAAAUCCCCACUCGGAUG